GCACUGCUGAGGAGUCCCACAAUAGGACGAAACACCCAUCCAGUGC
This 46-nucleotide non-coding RNA is filed under the name Schistosoma curassoni. The record is from RNAcentral. Lineage: Eukaryota; Metazoa; Platyhelminthes; Trematoda; Strigeidida; Schistosomatidae.